This 447-nucleotide ribosomal RNA is filed under the name uncultured bacterium. RNAcentral describes it as "partial 16S ribosomal RNA". It matches the Rfam family "Bacterial small subunit ribosomal RNA", at positions 29 to 523 of the family's 1533-position model. The record is from RNAcentral.
AGCGAACGCUGGCGGCAGGCUUAACACAUGCAAGUCGAACGCCCCGCACGGGGAGUGGCAGACGGGUGAGUAACACGUGGGAACGUACCCUUUGGUUUGGAAUAACUUGGGGAAACUCAAGCUAAUACCGGAUAAGCCCUUAUGGGGAAAGGUUUACUGCCGAAGGAUCGGCACGCGUGUGAUUAGCAAGUGUGUGAGGUAAUGGCUCACCAAGGCGACGAUCAGUAGCUGGUCUGAGAGGAUGAUCAGCCACACUGGGACUGAGACACGGCCCAGACUCCUACGGGAGGCAGCAGUGGGGAAUAUUGGACAAUGGGGGCAACCCUGAUCCAGCCAUGCCGCGUGAGUGAUGAAGGCCUUAGGGUUGUAAAGCUCUUUUACCCGGGACGAUAAUGACUGUACCGGGAGAAUAAGCCCCGGCUAACUUCGUGCCAGCAGCCGCCGUAA